RNAcentral lists this ribosomal RNA (778 nucleotides) under uncultured Neocallimastigales. Its description in RNAcentral is "partial large subunit ribosomal RNA". It matches the Rfam family "Eukaryotic large subunit ribosomal RNA", at positions 23 to 644 of the family's 3401-position model. Lineage: Eukaryota; Fungi; Neocallimastigomycota; Neocallimastigomycetes; Neocallimastigales. The record is from RNAcentral.
AGAGAUGUGUGAUGACGCAUAUCAAUAAGCGGAGGAAAAGAAACUAACAAGGAUUCCCUUAGUAACGGCGAGUGAAGCGGGAAGAGCUCAAAUUUGAAAUCUUCAAGGUUCUACCUUGACGAAUUGUAGUUUAAAGAAGUGUUUUCUGUUAGUGGGAGUGGCAAAAGUUCUUUGGAAUAGGACAUCAUAGAGGGUGAGAAUCCCGUAUUUGGUCAUUCCUUCUAGCUUUGUGAUACACUUUCAAAGAGUCGGAUUGUUUGGGAAUGCAGUCCAAAAUGGGUGGUAAAUUUCGUCUAAAGCUAAAUAUUGGCGAGGAGACCGAUAGCGAACAAGUACCGUGAGGGAAAGAUGAAAAGAACUUUGAAAAGAGAGUUAAACAGUACGCGAAAUUGUCAAAAGGGAAAGCGUUUGACACCAGUGUUGUUUUUCCGAAAAUCAAUUACGAAUGUUUUGUUUUUAAGAAGUUAUGACUUCAUCGGCUUGCUUCUUUCUUUACGAAACUUUCUUAAUGCACUUUUCGGUUAACAAGUCAACAUCAAUUUCUUUUGUUGUAAAAGGGUACGAGGAAGGUGGCUUUCUUUUCGGAGAAAGUGUUUAUAGCCUUGUACCUCUGCAAUCGGAGAGAUUGAGGUCUGCAGCGUAGAUCCUUCGGGGUUAGAUACAUUUGUGCUAAGUUAUAGCUUUUCAUAGACAACUUGUUGACUAUGUUAAGUCUUGUAGCUUACUCGCUUAGUGCUAUUUUACCUACGCUUAGGAUGUUGAUAGUCACAGCGUGUAC